RNAcentral lists this ribosomal RNA (301 nucleotides) under uncultured bacterium. RNAcentral describes it as "partial 16S ribosomal RNA". It matches the Rfam family "Bacterial small subunit ribosomal RNA", at positions 509 to 807 of the family's 1533-position model. The record is from RNAcentral.
CAGCAGCCACGGGAAUACGUAGGGUGCAAGCGUCAAUCGGAAUUACUGGGCGUAAAGCGUGCGCAGGCGGUUCUAUAAGACAGAUGUGAAAUCCCCGGGCUCAACCUGGGAACUGCAUUCGUGACUGUAGAGCUGGAGUGCGGCAGAGGGGGAUGGAAUUCCGCGUGUAGCGGUGAAAUGCGUAGAUAUGCGGAGGAACACCGACGGCGAAGGCAAUCCCCUGGGCCUGCACUGACGCUCAUGCACGAAAGCGUGGGGAGCAAACAGGAUUAGAGACCCCAGUAGUCCCUGUCUCUUAUAC